ACGCACGCUGGCGGCGUGCUUCACCCAUGCAAGUCGCACGGAAAGGCCCUGCUUUUGUGGGGUGCUCGAGUGGCGAACGGGUGAGUAACACGUGAGUAGCCUGCCCUUGACUUUGGGAUAACUUCAGGAAACUGGGGCUAAUACCGGAUAGGAGCUCCUGCUGCAUGGUGGGGGUUGGAAAGUUUCGGCGGUUGGGGAUGGACUCGCGGCUUAUCAGCUUGUUGGUGGGGUAGUGGCUUACCAAGGCUUUGACGGGUAGCCGGCCUGAGAGGGUGACCGGCCACAUUGGGACUGAGAUACGGCCCAGACUCCUACGGGAGGCAGCAGUGGGGAAUAUUGCACAAUGGGCGGAAGCCUGAUGCAGCAACGCCGCGUGCGGGAUGACGGCCUUCGGGUUGUAAACCGCUUUCGCCUGUGACGAAGCGUGAGUGACGGUAAUGGGUAAAGAAGCACCGGCUAACUACGUG
Molecule: ribosomal RNA, 467 nt
Filed under: uncultured bacterium
Lineage: Bacteria
Description: partial 16S ribosomal RNA
Rfam family: Bacterial small subunit ribosomal RNA
Source: RNAcentral